UUGUAAUGAUGUUGCCAAAUGUCUGACCUGAAGCAAUAAUGUGGACUAUUCUUUACUGAAAGA
Molecule: small nucleolar RNA, 63 nt
Organism: Nothoprocta perdicaria
Lineage: Eukaryota; Metazoa; Chordata; Aves; Tinamiformes; Tinamidae
Source: Ensembl